RNAcentral lists this ribosomal RNA (471 nucleotides) under uncultured Lysobacteraceae bacterium. RNAcentral describes it as "bacterial SSU rRNA". It matches the Rfam family "Bacterial small subunit ribosomal RNA", at positions 335 to 797 of the family's 1533-position model. Lineage: Bacteria; Pseudomonadati; Pseudomonadota; Gammaproteobacteria; Lysobacterales; Lysobacteraceae. The record is from RNAcentral.
UCGCCUACGGGGGGCUGCAGUGGGGAAUAUUGGACAAUGGGCGCAAGCCUGAUCCAGCCAUACCGCGUGAGUGAAGAAGGCCCUCGGGUUGUAAAGCUCUUUUGUUGGGAAAGAAAUCCAGCCGGUUAAUACCUGGCUGGGAUGACGGUACCCAAAGAAUAAGCACCGGCUAACUUCGUGCCAGCAGCCGCGGUAAUACGAAGGGUGCAAGCGUUACUCGGAAUUACUGGGCGUAAAGCGUGCGUAGGUGGUUGUUUAAGUCUGUCGUGAAAGCCCUGGGCUCAACCUGGGAAUUGCGAUGGAUACUGGGCGACUAGAGUGUGGUAGAGGGUGGCGGAAUUCCCGGUGUAGCAGUGAAAUGCGUAGAGAUCGGGAGGAACAUCCGUGGCGAAGGCGGCCACCUGGGCCAACACUGACACUGAGGCACGAAAGCGUGGGGAGCAAACAGGAUUAGAUACCCUUGUAGUCUCA